RNAcentral lists this long non-coding RNA (219 nucleotides) under Phoenix dactylifera (date palm). RNAcentral's name for it is "long non-coding RNA (PDAC_LNC004913)". Lineage: Eukaryota; Viridiplantae; Streptophyta; Magnoliopsida; Arecales; Arecaceae. The record is from RNAcentral.
ACACGUUCCUUAUGGGAUGAACAUACAAGACUACGCCGCUGCUUGGAUAGAGGGCUAGGUUGAUAUGCCUCCUGAUUAUGCUGAUGAUCCGAAUAUCUACGAAAGGCAUCGCCACUCGACCUAAUUUUGCAUAUCAUUAUGUACGUUUGUUGGACUUCAAAAGUAUGUAAUUGAUUGUAUCUUGAUUUGAAGAUAUUUUAUGUUGUUCAUUUUAUGAUU